Molecule: long non-coding RNA, 1012 nt
Filed under: Pan troglodytes (chimpanzee)
Lineage: Eukaryota; Metazoa; Chordata; Mammalia; Primates; Hominidae
Description: lincRNA
Rfam family: Small nucleolar RNA SNORD74 (bases 1-59)
Source: RNAcentral
CUGUGUUGGUAGGGACAUCUGAGAGUAAUGAUGAAUGCCAACCGCUCUGAUGGUGGCACAUGCCGAGUCACCCGAGUAAGCUAUUGUUAAGGGCCGUGACCCCAGCCUCCAUCAGCCGUCCGCUCUCAUGAAAGGCUGUCGGUGGUAGUCCACGUGCUUAAGUGCCUGCAUUCCGCAGUGUCACCAAUAUUUCCAUUAGUGUUUCUUUUUUCUUUUUUUUUUUGAGACCGAGCCUCGUUCUGUCACCCAGGCUGGAAUGCAGUGGCUCGAUCUCGGUUAAUGGCAACCUCCGCGUCCCGAGUUAAGCAGUUCUGCCUCAGCCUCCCAAGUAAUUGGGACUACAGGCGCGCGCCACCAUGCUAGGCUUUUAUAUUUUUAGUAGAGACGGGGUUUCACCAUGUUGGCGAGACUGGUCUUGAACUCCUGACCUCAGGUGAUCCACCAGCCGUGGUCUCCCAACAUACUGGGAUUACAAGCCGUGAGCCACCGCGCCCGGCCGCCAUCGGUGGUUCUUAACUGCGGGUGCAGUGCUUCUUUGUAACAUUAAGUGUAUCCUUUACCUGUCGCUAGAUAAUGAAUGGUAUGGUGCUGGGUGCAGAUGCAGUGUGGCUCUGGAUAGCACCUUAUGGACAGUUGUGUCCCCAAGGAAGGAUGAGAAUAGCUACUGAAGUCCUAAACAGCAAGCCUAACUCAAGCCAUUGGCACACAGGCAUUAGACAGAAAGCUGGAAGUUGAAAUGGUGGAGUCCAACUUGCCUGGACCAGCUUAAUGGUUCUGCUCCUGGUAACGUUUUUAUCCAUGGAUGACUUGCUUGGGUAUGGAGAGUCGGCUUGACUACACUGUGUGGAGCAACUUUUAAAGAAGCAAAGGACUCAGAAUUCAUGAUUGAAGAAAUGCAGGCAGACCUGUUAUCCUAAACUAGGGUUUUUAACGACCACAACAAGCAAGCAUGCAGCUUACUGCUUGAAAGGGUCUUGCCUCACCCAAGCUGGAGUGCAGUGGCCUUUGAAGC